GAAACAUAAAUUGUAGAAAUAAGUCCCGAUGUAUCUUUAAAAUUACAAUAAAUGUGCACAGUUUAAAAAAAAGAAAAAGAAAGAAAAAGUUGGUCUACAAGUUUCCUGAAGGUGUCAGAGUAAGAAUGAGUCUCAAGCGAAACGAACACGCAGAAGCAGGGGGAGCUGCAAAUGCCGCUUCUAGAGAGGACUGCCUGUGCUCGCAGGCAUUCUGUUUCCUCUGCUGCAUCAUCUGCGUCCCCCUCCCUCCCUUUCCUCACCUGAGAAGAUGGUUUUCUGUCUUGGACUGCAGGUCCUGCCUCUCUCUUUCUCUGAGAAAAGAAUCUGUGCCGAAGCUUUAAUUUGUUAUCGGUAUGUGAUACUUACAGCUGUGGCACCCAUCUUGAGACGAGGAGGUCAGUCACCCUAAGAAGAUACACCAGCGUGCUGAGGAAGACAUGGUAGAAACAUAGAAGAAUUUAGGUCCUCAGUGAUAUCGUUGAGCUGAUGAAUUCACCAACCUACAACUGUUCUAACCCUGGAUUUCUUUUUAUGUGAGAUAAUAUAUUUCCUUGUUUAAACCAUUUGGAUUUGGCCUUUUAUUAUCUCUGCCUGAAAUGUUCUAACCAAUAAACCUCUUUAUUCUCAUAUUUGCUGAUAGUGGUGUCUUUUCCUUAAUGUAAUACAUGUGUGCAUGUAUGUGUUGAAAGGACAAUGAAGGAAGGAGAAAUGCGUCUCUAUUCUUC
This is a long non-coding RNA of Equus caballus (horse), 725 nucleotides long. RefSeq lists it as uncharacterized. The record is from RefSeq and is a predicted model, not a curated record. NCBI's taxonomy places the organism in Eukaryota, Metazoa, Chordata, Mammalia, Perissodactyla, Equidae.